RNAcentral lists this ribosomal RNA (742 nucleotides) under uncultured Pseudomonadota bacterium. RNAcentral's name for it is "bacterial SSU rRNA". It matches the Rfam family "Bacterial small subunit ribosomal RNA", at positions 9 to 795 of the family's 1533-position model. The record is from RNAcentral. Lineage: Bacteria; Pseudomonadati; Pseudomonadota.
GAGUUUGCUCCUGGCUCAGAGCGAACGCUGGCGGCAGGCUUAACACAUGCAAGUCGAGCGGGCGUAGCAAUACGUCAGCGGCAGACGGGUGAGUAACGCGUGGGAACGUACCUUUUGGUUCGGAACAACACAGGGAAACUUGUGCUAAUACCGGAUAAGCCCUUACGGGGAAAGAUUUAUCGCCGAAAGAUCGGCCCGCGUCUGAUUAGCUAGUUGGUGAGGUAACGGCUCACCAAGGCGACGAUCAGUAGCUGGUCUGAGAGGAUGAUCAGCCACAUUGGGACUGAGACACGGCCCAAACUCCUACGGGAGGCAGCAGUGGGGAAUAUUGGACAAUGGGCGCAAGCCUGAUCCAGCCAUGCCGCGUGAGUGAUGAAGGCCCUAGGGUUGUAAAGCUCUUUUGUGCGGGAAGAUAAUGACGGUACCGCAAGAAUAAGCCCCGGCUAACUUCGUGCCAGCAGCCGCGGUAAUACGAAGGGGGCUAGCGUUGCUCGGAAUCACUGGGCGUAAAGGGUGCGUAGGCGGGUCUUUAAGUCAGGGGUGAAAUCCUGGAGCUCAACUCCAGAACUGCCUUUGAUACUGAGGAUCUUGAGUUCGGGAGAGGUGAGUGGAACUGCGAGUGUAGAGGUGAAAUUCGUAGAUAUUCGCAAGAACACCAGUGGCGAAGGCGGCUCACUGGCCCGAUACUGACGCUGAGGCACGAAAGCGUGGGGAGCAAACAGGAUUAGAUACCCUGGUAGUC